RNAcentral lists this transfer RNA (69 nucleotides) under Nocardiopsis aegyptia. Its description in RNAcentral is "tRNA-Ser". Lineage: Bacteria; Bacillati; Actinomycetota; Actinomycetes; Streptosporangiales; Nocardiopsidaceae. The record is from RNAcentral.
GGGUGUGUUGCAGUCACGGUCUGUGGACUCAUAAUCCCUGGGUCGCGGGUUCGAGUCCUGCCCGGCCUA